RNAcentral lists this microRNA precursor (199 nucleotides) under Oryza brachyantha (malo sina). Its description in RNAcentral is "MIR812 microRNA precursor family". The stretch from base 26 to 199 matches the Rfam family "MIR812 microRNA precursor family", at positions 25 to 205 of the family's 205-position model. The record is from Rfam by way of RNAcentral. Lineage: Eukaryota; Viridiplantae; Streptophyta; Magnoliopsida; Poales; Poaceae.
CAUCCGUCACAAUUUUUAUAGUUUAUGUUUAACGAUUAAUCGUCCGUUUUAUUUAAAAAAUUAUGAUUGAUAUUUUUAUUACUAUUACAUGAUAAAACAUGAACAUUACUUAUGUGUGACCAUUUUUUAAAAAAAUCAUAUUUUUCAAAUAAGACGAAUAGUCAAACGUUGGACAGGAAAAUCCAUAGAUACAGUUAAA